UGCUAUCAUGCAGUCGAGCGAAUGGAUUAAGAGCUUGCUCUUAUGAAGUUAGCGGCGGACGGGUGAGUAACACGUGGGUAACCUGCCCAUAAGACUGGGAUAACUCCGGGAAACCGGGGCUAAUACCGGAUAACAUUUUGAACCGCAUGGUUCGAAAUUGAAAGGCGGCUUCGGCUGUCACUUAUGGAUGGACCCGCGUCGCAUUAGCUAGUUGGUGAGGUAACGGCUCACCAAGGCAACGAUGCGUAGCCGACCUGAGAGGGUGAUCGGCCACACUGGGACUGAGACACGGCCCAGACUCCUACGGGAGGCAGCAGUAGGGAAUCUUCCGCAAUGGACGAAAGUCUGACGGAGCAACGCCGCGUGAGUGAUGAAGGCUUUCGGGUCGUAAAACUCUGUUGUUAGGGAAGAACAAGUGCUAGUUGAAUAAGCUGGCACCUUGACGGUACCUAACCAGAAAGCCACGGCUAACUACGUGCCAGCAGCCGCGGUAAUACGUAGGUGGCAAGCGUUAUCCGGAAUUAUUGGGCGUAAAGCGCGCGCAGGUGGUUUCUUAAGUCUGAUGUGAAAGCCCACGGCUCAACCGUGGAGGGUCAUUGGAAACUGGGAGACUUGAGUGCAGAANAGGAAAGUGGAAUUCCAUGUGUAGCGGUGAAAUGCGUAGAGAUAUGGAGGAACACCCGUGGCGAAGGCGACUUUCUGGUUCUGUAACUGACACUGAGGGCGCGAAAGCGUGUGGGAGCAAAA
This 747-nucleotide ribosomal RNA is filed under the name Bacillus cereus. Its description in RNAcentral is "bacterial SSU rRNA". It matches the Rfam family "Bacterial small subunit ribosomal RNA", at positions 45 to 773 of the family's 1533-position model. Lineage: Bacteria; Bacillati; Bacillota; Bacilli; Caryophanales; Bacillaceae. The record is from RNAcentral.